GGAUGAACGCUAGCGGCAGGCUUCAUACAUGCAAGUCGAGGGGCAGCAUAAAUUACUUGUAAUUUGAUGGCGACCGGCGAACGGGUGCGUAACGCGUAUGCAACUUACCUUUUACUAGAGAAUAGCCAAGAGAAAUUUUGAUUAAUGCUCUAUGUUCUUAUUUACUCGCAUGAGUAAAUAAGCAAAGCUCCGGCGGUAAAAGAUGGGCAUGCGUCCUAUUAGCUUGUAGGUGAGGUAAUGGCUCACCUAAGCUCCGAUAGGUAGGGGUCCUGAGAGGGAGAUCCCCCACACUGGUACUGAGACACGGACCAGACUUCUACGGAAGGCAGCAGUAAGGAAUAUUGGACAAUGGAGGCAACUCUGAUCCAGCCAUGCCGCGUGAAGGAAGACGGCCUUAUGGGUUGUAAACUUCUUUAUACAGGAAGAAACCUUUCCACGUGUGGAAAGUUGACGGUACUGUAAGAAUAAGGAUCGGCUAACUCCGUGCCAGCAGCCGCGGUAAUACGGAGGAUCCAAGCGUUAUCCGGAUUCAUUGGGUUUAAAGGGUCCGUAGGCGGAUUUUUAAGUCAGUGGUGAAAGCCGACAGCUCAACUGUCGAACUGCCAUUGAUACUGGAAAUCUUGAGUACAAAUGAAGUAGGCGGAAUGAGUCAUGUAGCGGUGAAAUGCAUAGAUAUGACUCAGAACACCAAUUGCGAAGGCAGCUUACUAACAUGUAACUGACGCUGAGGGACGAAAGCGUGGGGAGCGAACAGGAUUAGAUACCCUGGUAGUCCACGCCGUAAACGAUCAUCACUCGCUGUUGGCGAUAUACAGUCAGCGGCCAAGCGAAAGUAUUAAGUGAUGCACCUGGGGAGUACGCCGGCAACGGUGAAACUCAAAGGAAUUGACGGGGGCCCGCACAAGCGGUGGAGCAUGUGGUUUAAUUCGAUGAUACGCGAGGAACCUUACCAGGGCUUAAAUGUAGUUUGACCGGUCUGGAAACAGACUUUCUCUUCGGAGCAGAUUACAAGGUGCUGCAUGGUUGUCGUCAGCUCGUGCCGUGAGGUGUUAGGUUAAGUCCUGCAACGAGCGCAACCCCUAUUCUUAGUUGCCAGCGGUUCGGCCGGGGACUCUAAGAAGACUGCCAGCGCAAGCUGAGAGGAAGGUGGGGAUGACGUCAAAUCAUCACGGCCCUUACGUCCUGGGCUACACACGUGCUACAAUGGUAGAGACAGAGGGCAGCCACCUGGUGACAGGGAGCGAAUCCUUAAACUCUAUCUCAGUUCGGAUCGAAGUCUGCAACUCGACUUCGUGAAGCUGGAAUCGCUAGUAAUCGCGCAUCAGCCAUGGCGCGGUGAAUACGUUCCCGGGCCUUGCACACACCGCCCG
RNAcentral lists this ribosomal RNA (1370 nucleotides) under uncultured Flavobacterium sp. RNAcentral describes it as "bacterial SSU rRNA". It matches the Rfam family "Bacterial small subunit ribosomal RNA", at positions 27 to 1396 of the family's 1533-position model. The record is from RNAcentral. Lineage: Bacteria; Pseudomonadati; Bacteroidota; Flavobacteriia; Flavobacteriales; Flavobacteriaceae.